Molecule: ribosomal RNA, 468 nt
Filed under: uncultured bacterium
Lineage: Bacteria
Description: partial 16S ribosomal RNA
Rfam family: Bacterial small subunit ribosomal RNA
Source: RNAcentral
GACGAACGCUGGCGGCGUGCUUAACACAUGCAAGUCGAACGGAAAGGCCCUGCUUUUGUGGGGUGCUCGAGUGGCGAACGGGUGAGUAACACGUGAGUAACCUGCCCGUGACUUUGGGAUAACUUCAGGAAACUGGGGCUAAUACCGGAUAGGAGCUCCUGCUGCAUGGUGGGGGUUGGAAAGUUUCGGCGGUUGGGGAUGGACUCGCGGCUUAUCAGCUUGUUGGUGGGGUAGUGGCUUACCAAGGCUUUGACGGGUAGCCGGCCUGAGAGGGUGACCGGCCACAUUGGGACUGAGAUACGGCCCAGACGCCUACGGGAGGCAGCGGUGGAGAAUAUUGCACAAUGGGCGGAAGCCUGAUGCAGCAACGCCGCGUGCGGGAUGACGGCCUUCGGGUUGUAAACCGCUUUCGCCUGUGACGAAGCGUGAGUGACGGUAAUGGGUAAAGAAGCACCGGCUAACUACGUG